GGGGAUUUGGUUCAGUGGUAGAGCGUUUGCCUAGCAAGCACAAGGCCCUGGGUUCGGUCCCCAGCUCCG
Molecule: transfer RNA, 69 nt
Filed under: Rattus norvegicus (Norway rat)
Lineage: Eukaryota; Metazoa; Chordata; Mammalia; Rodentia; Muridae
Rfam family: tRNA
About the family: Transfer RNA (tRNA) molecules are approximately 80 nucleotides in length. Their secondary structure includes four short double-helical elements and three loops (D, anti-codon, and T loops).
Source: Rfam by way of RNAcentral